Cydia amplana is the source of this 166-nucleotide long non-coding RNA. RefSeq lists it as uncharacterized. The record is from RefSeq and is a predicted model, not a curated record. Lineage: Eukaryota; Metazoa; Arthropoda; Insecta; Lepidoptera; Tortricidae. The transcript is spliced from 2 exons.
UAGUGUUGUUUUCCUGCCGGUGAGUAAGGUUGCCAGAGCUCAACGAGGGUUGUUAAAAGGUCGGCAACGCGCAUGCAACACCUCUGGAGUUGCAGGAGUCCAUAAGCUACGGUGACUACUUACCAUCAGGCGGGCCGUAUGCUUGUUUGCCACCGAUGUGGUAUAA